CCAAAAAAAAAAAAAAAGGCUUGAACGAGGGGGGGGGGGGGGGCCCGUACAGUCUCCGGAUUCAUAAGGAGAGGGGGGAGUAAUAACCGGAACCCCCUAAGGGAGGAAAAUGGAAAAUGUUUUCACCAACAUUUUUCCGCAAGAAAAGAGAAGGGCUUGGGGUUCGAAAGGAAGCCCCCCGUCCAUUAUUAGUGGGAGGAACGCUCCACAAGGCCCCGUCCCACCCGCCUGGGAGGUUAUCGCCCCAGGGGGAUGAACACCGCCCAAUCUCCUGGGGGAGCAGAGUAGGAAUUUUGGCAAAGGAAGAAUUUUGACCGAACAACGCCGGUUGAUGAAGAAGUUUUCGGAUCGUAAAAUUUUGUUGUUAGAGAGAACAAGGACGUUAGUAACUGAACGUCCCCUGACGGUAUCUAACCAGAAAGCCAGGGCUAAUUACGUGCCAGCAGCGGCGGUAAUACGUAGGUGGCAAGCGUUGUCCGGAUUUAUUGGGCGUAAAGCGAGCGCAGGCGGUUUCUUAAGUCUGAUGUGAAAGCCCCCGGCUCAACCGGGGAGGGUCAUUGGAAACUGGGAGACUUGAGUGCAGAAGAGGAGAGUGGAAUUCCAUGUGUAGCGGUGAAAUGCGUAGAUAUAUGGAGGAACACCAGUGGCGAAGGCGGCUCUCUGGUCUGUAACUGACGCUGAGGCUCGAAAGCGUGGGGAGCAAACAGGAUUAGAUACCCUGGUAGUCCACGCCGUAAACGAUGAGUGCUAAGUGUUGGAGGGUUUCCGCCCUUCAGUGCUGCAGCAAACGCAUUAAGCACUCCGCCUGGGGAGUACGACCGCAAGGUUGAAACUCAAAGGAAUUGACGGGGGCCCGCACAAGCGGUGGAGCAUGUGGUUUAAUUCGAAGCAACGCGAAGAACCUUACCAGGUCUUGACAUCCUUUGACCACUCUAGAGAUAGAGCUUUCCCUUCGGGGACAAAGUGACAGGUGGUGCAUGGUUGUCGUCAGCUCGUGUCGUGAGAUGUUGGGUUAAGUCCCGCAACGAGCGCAACCCUUAUUGUUAGUUGCCAUCAUUUAGUUGGGCACUCUAGCGAGACUGCCGGUGACAAACCGGAGGAAGGUGGGGAUGACGUCAAAUCAUCAUGCCCCUUAUGACCUGGGCUACACACGUGCUACAAUGGGAAGUACAACGAGUCGCUAGACCGCGAGGUCAUGCAAAUCUCUUAAAGCUUCUCUCAGUUCGGAUUGCAGGCUGCAACUCGCCUGCAUGAAGCCGGAAUCGCUAGUAAUCGCGGAUCAGCACGCCGCGGUGAAUACGUUCCCGGGCCUUGUACACACCGCCCGUCACACCACGAGAGUUUGUAACACCCGAAGUCGGUGAGGUAACCUUUUUGGAGCCAGCCGCCUAAGGUGGGAUAGAAUGAUUGGGGAGCGCCAA
RNAcentral lists this ribosomal RNA (1421 nucleotides) under Enterococcus faecalis. Its description in RNAcentral is "partial 16S ribosomal RNA". It matches the Rfam family "Bacterial small subunit ribosomal RNA". The record is from RNAcentral. Lineage: Bacteria; Bacillati; Bacillota; Bacilli; Lactobacillales; Enterococcaceae.